AUUGAACGCUGGCGGCAUGCCUUACACAUGCAAGUCGAACGGCAGCACGGGUGCUUGCACCUGGUGGCGAGUGGCGAACGGGUGAGUAAUACAUCGGAACAUGUCCUGUAGUGGGGGAUAGCCCGGCGAAAGCCGGAUUAAUACCGCAUACGAUCUACGUAUGAAAGCGGGGGACCUUCGGGCCGCGCGCUAUGGGGUUGGCCGGUGGCUGAUUAGCUAGUUGGUGGGGUAAUGGCCUACCAAGGCGACGAUCAGUAGCUGGUCUGAGAGGAUGACCAGCCACACUGGAACUGAGACACGGCCCAGACUCCUACGGGAGGCAGCAGUGGGGAAUUUUGGACAAUGGGCGAAAGCCUGACGCAGCAACGCCGCGUGUGUGAAGAAGGCCUUCGGGUUGUAAAGCACUGUUGUCCGGAAAGAAAUCCUUGGCCCGAAUACGGGCGGGGGUUGACGGUACCGGAAGAAUAAGCACCGGCUAACUACGUG
Molecule: ribosomal RNA, 486 nt
Filed under: uncultured bacterium
Lineage: Bacteria
Description: partial 16S ribosomal RNA
Rfam family: Bacterial small subunit ribosomal RNA
Source: RNAcentral